GCAUUUAUCAUAACUUUUUAUGCGCUUAUAGAAAAUUUUUUUAAUUUGUACAAAAAAAAAGUGUUUAUAUUUUCCAUGCCAUCAAUCAAAAAAUUCAUUAGCAAUUGUUGGAUCCUUCCACUGAGUUGAAUUUCUAUCCCCUCAUCCUACUUUCAGAAUCAAUCUUCCAUACAAGGAAAGUGGAUCGGGAUCCUCUGCCGCGCAUGUUUUGCAUCAUUUAAAUCGAUGCAUGUUUUGCAUCAUUUCCCUAGAUUGCCGAACUCUCUCCUGGUGUUGCUAUCGGAUCUUCACUGGCGGGCGACAGAUCUUCCCCU
Molecule: long non-coding RNA, 314 nt
Filed under: Elaeis guineensis (African oil palm)
Lineage: Eukaryota; Viridiplantae; Streptophyta; Magnoliopsida; Arecales; Arecaceae
Description: long non-coding RNA (EGUI_LNC022201)
Source: RNAcentral